GUCCACGCCGUAAACGAUGUCAACUAGCUGUUUGUGUUCUUGAAACGUGAGUAGCGUAGCUAACGCGCUAAGUUGACCGCCUGGGGAGUACGGCCGCAAGGUUAAAACUCAAAUGAAUUGACGGGGGCCCGCACAAGCGGUGGAGCAUGUGGUUUAAUUCGAUGCAACGCGAAGAACCUUACCAUCCCUUGACAUCCAGAGAAUUUUCUAGAGAUAGAUUAGUGCCUUCGGGAACUCUGAGACAGGUGCUGCAUGGCU
RNAcentral lists this ribosomal RNA (258 nucleotides) under uncultured bacterium. RNAcentral's name for it is "partial 16S ribosomal RNA". It matches the Rfam family "Bacterial small subunit ribosomal RNA", at positions 793 to 1050 of the family's 1533-position model. The record is from RNAcentral.